CGGGGUGCAGCAGGCGCGAAAACUUUACAAUGCUGGCAACAGCGAUAAGGGGACCUUGAGUGCCAGGAUACAAUCCUGGCUGUCGUGAUGCCUAAAAAGCAUUAUAUAGCAAGGGCCGGGCAAGACCGGUGCCAGCCGCCGCGGUAACACCGGCGGCUCGAGUGGUAACCGCUAUUAUUGGGUCUAAAGGGUCUGUAGCCGGCUUGGUUAGUCUCUUGGGAAAUCCGGCAGCUUAACUGUCGGGCUUUCAGGAGAUACUGCCAGGCUCGAGACCGGGAGAGGUGAGAGGUACUUCAUGGGUAGGGGUGAAAUCUAGUAAUCCUUGAAGGACCACCAGUGGCGAAGGCGUCUCACCAGAACGGAUCUGACGGCAAGGGACGAAAGCUAGGGGCACGAACCGGAUUAGAUACCCGGGUAGUCCUAGCCGUAAACGAUACUCGCUAGGUGUCGGCCACGGUGCGACCGUGGUCGGUGCCGUAGGGAAGCCGUGAAGCGAGCCACCUGGGAAGUACGGCCGCAAGGCUGAAACUUAAAGGAAUUGGCG
This 544-nucleotide ribosomal RNA is filed under the name uncultured archaeon. Its description in RNAcentral is "bacterial SSU rRNA". It matches the Rfam family "Archaeal small subunit ribosomal RNA", at positions 326 to 870 of the family's 1478-position model. The record is from RNAcentral.